RNAcentral lists this ribosomal RNA (1957 nucleotides) under Burkholderiales bacterium. RNAcentral describes it as "partial 23S ribosomal RNA". It matches the Rfam family "Bacterial large subunit ribosomal RNA", at positions 1 to 2007 of the family's 2925-position model. Lineage: Bacteria; Pseudomonadati; Pseudomonadota; Betaproteobacteria; Burkholderiales. The record is from RNAcentral.
GAUCAAGCGACUAAGUGCAUGUGGUGGAUGCCUUGGCGAUCACAGGCGAUGAAGGACGUAGUAGCCUGCGAUAAGCUGCGGGGAGCUGGCAAACAAGCUUUGAUCCGCAGAUUUCCGAAUGGGGAAACCCACCGCUUCGGCGGUAUCGUUAACUGAAUACAUAGGUUAACGAGGCGAACCGGGUGAACUGAAACAUCUCAGUAACUCGAGGAAAAGAAAUCAACCGAGAUUCCGAAAGUAGCGGCGAGCGAAAUCGGAACAGCCUGUACGAGUUAGCUUCGGUGAUAGAAGAACGGAUUGGAAACUCCGGCCAUAGCAGGUGAUAGCCCUGUAUUCGAAAUCAUUGGAGUGGGACUAGGCGUACGAUAAGUAGGGCGGGACACGUGUAAUCCUGUCUGAAGAUGGGGGGACCAUCCUCCAAGGCUAAAUACUCGUGAUCGACCGAUAGUGAACCAGUACCGUGAGGGAAAGGCGAAAAGAACCCCGGAAGGGGAGUGAAAUAGAUCCUGAAACCGCAUGCAUACAAACAGUCGGAGCCUCCUUGUGGGGUGACGGCGUACCUUUUGUAUAAUGGGUCAGCGACUUACAUUCAGUGGCAAGCUUAACCGAAUAGGGGAGGCGUAGCGAAAGCGAGUCCGAAUAGGGCGUUCAGUCGCUGGGUGUAGACCCGAAACCAGACGAUCUAUCCAUGGCCAGGUUGAAGGCACGGUAACACGUGCUGGAGGACCGAACCCACUAGUGUUGAAAAACUAGGGGAUGAGCUGUGGAUAGGGGUGAAAGGCUAAACAAGUCUGGAAAUAGCUGGUUCUCCCCGAAAACUAUUUAGGUAGUGCCUCGAGUAUUACUCCAGGGGGUAGAGCACUGUUAUGGCUAGGGGGUCAUGGCGACUUACCAAACCAUUGCAAACUCCGAAUACCUGGAAGUACAGCUCGGGAGACAGAGCACCGGGUGCUAACGUCCGGACUCAAGAGGGAAACAACCCAGACCGCCAGCUAAGGUCCCCAAAUAUCGCUAAGUGGGAAACGAAGUGGGAAGGCAUAGACAGUCAGGAAGUUGGCUUAGAAGCAGCCAUCCUUUAAAGAAAGCGUAAUAGCUCACUGAUCGAGUCGUCCUGCGCGGAAGAUGUAACGGGGCUAAGCGAUAUACCGAAGCUGCGGAUGCACAGUUUACUGUGCGUGGUAGGGGAGCGUUCUGUAAGCCUGCGAAGGUGGCUUGUAAAGGCUGCUGGAGGUAUCAGAAGUGCGAAUGCUGACAUGAGUAGCGAUAAAGAGGGUGAAAGGCCCUCUCGCCGUAAGUCCAAGGUUUCCUACGCAACGUUCAUCGGCGUAGGGUGAGUCGGCCCCUAAGGCGAGGCAGAGAUGCGUAGCUGAUGGGAAGCUGGUUAAUAUUCCAGCACCGUCGUUUAAUGCGAUGGGGGGACGGAUCGCGGAAUGUCAUCGGGGUGUUGGAAGUCCCCGUUGCUGCAUCGAAGAAGGCACUUAGGCAAAUCCGGGUGCGCAAUUCAAGGGUGUGGCACGAGCGAACUUGUUCGCGAAGUGAUUGGAAGUGGUCCCAGGAAAAGCCUCUAAGCUUCAGUUAAACGAGACCGUACCGCAAACCGACACAGGUGGACGGGAUGAAUAUUCUAAGGCGCUUGAGAGAACUCAGGAGAAGGAACUCGGCAAAUUGAUACCGUAACUUCGGGAGAAGGUAUGCCCUGGUAGCGUGAAGCGCCUGCGCGCUGAGCGUGAAAGGGUCGCAGAGAAUCGGUGGCUGCGACUGUUUAAUAAAAACACAGCACUCUGCAAACACGAAAGUGGACGUAUAGGGUGUGACGCCUGCCCGGUGCCGGAAGGUUAAGUGAUGGGGUGCAAGCUCUUGAUCGAAGCCCCGGUAAACGGCGGCCGUAACUAUAACGGUCCUAAGGUAGCGAAAUUCCUUGUCGGGUAAGUUCCGACCUGCACGAAUGGCGUAACGA